Molecule: long non-coding RNA, 917 nt
Organism: Ictalurus punctatus (channel catfish)
Lineage: Eukaryota; Metazoa; Chordata; Actinopteri; Siluriformes; Ictaluridae
Exons: 3
Source: RefSeq, a predicted model, not a curated record
AUAUUAUUUAUUUAAUAUUUAUUAAGACUUCAUAUAUAUUAUUAUUUAUACUAUAAAUAUUAAAGUAAGUAAAAUAUAUACAUCCAAAUGGAACCAAAAAGUAAGCCUACAGUUCUGCUGUGUUCUUCAAAACAGCUUGUGUUGGGAAGAACCAGAUCUGCAGCGCAAAAAUGGGAGCUGGAUUUACAUCCUGCCUCUCUUGGAGGAUGACAUGCCUUCGUCCUCUACAGGCUGGACAGCACCAACAAUCAGGGCUAUGAGUGGAUCUUCAUAGUAUGGUCCCCGGAUCAUUCUGCUGUGCCGACAGAAAGGGCAGGGCGUAGGUUUCCCCAUGCAAAGAGAUGCCAUUGAGGCCUUGGAGCAAUUCAGAAACAGAACUUGACGUCUCAAGGAACGAAAUUAAGGGAGGAGGCAUACAGAGGAGAUACGUGGACGGGCCACCAUUCGAGGGAUAUCAGAGUAGGACAGUAGGGCACCCCCAGCCAAGACACAGCACUCUGAUGUAUCUUGAUAACCGAGACCAGCAAUGCAGGCCUGCAGGUCGCCCUCUAACCCCAAUGAGGAGGGUCAACCCAUUGCACAAUCUCCUUCAAAAACCUCUCCCAAACCUCGCGGGGGGAGCCAGCCCACCAGCGAGUCAGUGUAGUCAAUGUCCUGCUGUCCGAAUCAAGAGAACUGACCCACCAUUCAGUCCCAUCCAAGACCCCUCUCAAAUGCCGUGGGGGGAGCCAUCCCACAAGGGAGUCAGUGUGGUCACUGUCUCACCGUGUGCAUCAAAGAGUCGGUGUAGUCACUGUCUCACCGUGUGCAUCAAAGAGUCGGUGUAGUCACUGUCUCACCAUGUGCAUCAAAGAGAAGGGAUCUCUGGCUCAGUCUGCCCAAUUAUUAUUCAAUUAUUUAAAUAACAUACUCGGGCA